RNAcentral lists this long non-coding RNA (5062 nucleotides) under Pan troglodytes (chimpanzee). Its description in RNAcentral is "long non-coding RNA NONPTRT015566". The record is from RNAcentral. Lineage: Eukaryota; Metazoa; Chordata; Mammalia; Primates; Hominidae.
GGGCUUUUGAGUCCUUUCCACCACCCUUGUUAUUCCUCAGAGCAUACUGCUUUCAGGGAGAUGGUAUCAAUCCCCCUAUGUUCAGAAUGAGAAUCCAGCAGGUAAUGGGUCAGGGAACUUCUGGGUGAUCACUCACUCCCAUAUCCCAUUAGAGUUUGGGAGUGGGGGUCUGGCUUAGCCUGCACUGUGGGGCCAGGUAUGCAGCACACCCCAGGUACAGCCCAGCAGCAGCUGCUUCUGCUUUACUUGGUUCAUUUCCCAGACGUCCCUGUGGUUUGUCUGAUUGGGGAUCUCUUGUCUUUGCAGGUUGCUUUCACAACCAAAAUUUAUCACCCUAAUAUCAACAGCAAUGGCAGCAUCUGCCUCGAUAUCCUGCGGUCUCAGUGGUCUCCAGCGUUGACUGUGUCAAAAGUUCUCUUGUCCAUCUGCUCACUGCUCUGCGACCCCAACCCCGAUGACCCCCUGGUGCCAGAGAUAGCCCACACCUACAAGGCCGACAGAGAGAAGUACAACAGACUAGCAAGAGAGUGGACACAAAAAUAUGCUAUGUAAGUGCCUUGGAGGUUUUACAUGAGACACUGUCCAAGAGAAGCUGGCAGAGAGGUCUUCCCUUAAAACUUUGGGCUGUUGGCUGAGCCAUUCAAAGAGUAUCAUCUGUUCUUCAAACAAAUGUUGGUCACCCACUCUCUCCAGCUGCAGCAUGUUGGUGCCAUUUUCAGCAAUUGUGGCUUUGACAGUGCCACCUCUUUGAUGCCAAAUCAGCAACCAUUGUUGUUAUGAUCUGCAGUCUUCCUGGUGACACUGGAAUCUCUCUCUCUGCCGCCUCAGUUUGUCUGCUGGUCUCUUGGGGGGCCAGGCCCUGCACGUCUCUCCUACCCGGCCUCAAAUGGUGCUGCUGCCCAUGAUGGUACCACACCAGGGCCUCAGCCUGGCCCCUCACCACAUACCCUUUGCCUUUUAGAACUCAGUGCCAUCCUGGGUGCCCAGGGAAGAGCAGGCUUUGUUCGCACCUCAUCUGCUGCAGAACCACAUCCUGAGGAGUCUCAGCUUAUCCUGGAGGGAAUUGGGAACAGUGUCACUGGGAAGUGAAGGCCUAGACCUGCGGCUUCCACCAGUCUCCUCCUGCAGUGCCACGUGCUGGCAUUUCUCGCCUCACACCAAGAAGCAGCAAGUGGAAAAUUUCAGGAUACAAAGCACAUAACACCCCAUAAGAGAUGAUUAUGUUUUUAGAAGCAAGAGCAAAAUUAUGAAACCUCUAGAGAUUUGGGUCAUGUUACUCCAUUUGAUGAGGAUUCUCACUACCGCCCGCUCCUCCCAUAGGAGCCUACACUAAGUCCAAGUGUGAGCCAUUCACAGACUAGAACACAAGGAGGGAGAGAGACUCUUAAAUGUAAAUAAAAAUGCAAUUCACUCACAACUCUAAAUGAUAAUUGACAUUUCAGCCUCUUUCUUUUAGGCAAAACAGAAGAUACACACUAUUAACAGUUAUUUGAAGCCUUAAAUUACAAUAGCCUGUUAGGUGAUCGGCUUUCUGAUGCAGCACAUUUUAAGAUUUGCCUCUAAAGCUUUGAGCCUUGAGAUUAGGUUAGUUAGGAAGAGGACAACAAAGGGAAGAGAUUAUUCUAAUAAAACUUCCACAGAGGGAAGAAAAUUGAGGAGCUUCAGAUCUCUAAAGCCAAAUUCAACCUGAUCUUUCUAGGUUGGUUAUAAAGCUGGUCCACUUCCAGGAAGUGAUGUGUAGGUGAAUAGGAACAAAAGGUGAAGAAGCAGUAAAACUGUGACCAAGUGGCCAGAUGGGGCUUUUGCCGGCUGAUUGAAAGGAAGUCUACAGACCUAACAUAAGCAGUCAGCCAAAGGUGGCUGUGGGAGGUUGAUUUCUUCCAGAAACUUCCAAGUUGUGGCUACAAAUUUAUUGCCAGAUAUUUUCCCACUGAGAAUACUGAGGUUAUUCACAUAAUCACUUCCUUAACAAAGGAAGAAGCACUUUUAACUUGGGCUGCAUUCCCUUUGUGAGGGUCCACAUUUAGGAUCUCCUGCUACCAUAAGGCCCCUUUUGGGGUCCUUUGGGUGUGGCUGCAUCUCACCAUGUUGAGGAUUGCCUUUUUUUUUUUUUUUUUUCCCAACACAGAGCCUUGCUCUGUCUCCCAGGCUGGAGUGCAGUGGUGCGAUCUUGGCUCACUGCAACCUCUGCCUCCCAGGUUCAAGCAAUUCUCCUGCCUCAGCCUCCCGAGUAGCCGGAAUUACAGGCAUGUGCCACCAUGCUGGGCUAAUUUUUGUAUUUUUAGUGGAGACGGUGUUUCACCAUGUUGGCCAGGCUGGUCUUGAACUCCUGGCCUCAAGUGACCCGCCCACAUUGGCCUCCCAAAGUGCUGGGAUUACAGGCGUGAGCCCCCGCGCCCAGCAAGGAUUGCUGUUUUAAUUCUUGUAUCUUCGUUGCUUCUUUGGUCUUUGCUUAAACAAAACAAUAAAGCUUAAUAGUUGGGGAGAAUGCUGUUACCAGUGUCCUCUAGGAAGGCUGUUAGCAUAUGGCUCUACUGAGCAGCAGUGCCAUCUGGUGCCUGAGAUCAUGUGCUUCAGGCAGUUGUCACACUGCAUCUACAGCCAAGCAUCACAGAAACACUUCACUCAUGUGGUCAGGGAAGGUGGGACUGAUUCACAUGUUAGAGACAGGUCAGAUGGGAAAAUUAAGGCCCAACUUGGUGUUGGGGAAUAACCAUACUCUGGUCUUUCAAGUGUAGUAGCUGAUGAUUCCCAAGAAACUGAUGAAUUUUCUGAGUCCAGACAAAAUUUCCCCAAGCCUGCUCUCUCUGUUGGAUAUACAUAAUAGAGAAAGUCAAAUCAGCCCUUUGGGGUUUGUGGUAAAAAUUCACUCACCCAUUGAAGCCUAAGGUGGCUUUGUACCUUCCAGAUCUCUCAGCAAAUCCCCUGGGCAGAAAUGUCACCUGCUUGCCAUGUCUUUGAGGGGUUCAGGUAAGCCUGGAGAACAGGCUCCUUAGGUCAAAAACCUUGUUUUAAGAGCCACUGUGGUACAGUCAAUGUAACCCACUUGUGCAGAAGCCAUGCUUCCAAGGAAGGUCUCAGGUUGACAACUAGACAUCAAAUCUGAGAAGCCAACUGUGGAGUAAUGUGUUUUUUUCUCUGUGGACAAGAGAGAUCAGAAAGGUGCUUGAUCUUGAACAAUUGAUCCAUAAUGAAAAAAUGACCAUUAGCUCUCCCCUAGAAGCGGCUGUGUUUGCUGAAUGGAGCUGAGAUUUUGAUCCGCUAUCAGACUCCAGAAAGAUCCAGGAGUUCCAAGAACAUGGCAAAGAGUCAAAAAUCUUAGGACAAGGAAUUAAAAUGCCAGAAUGCAAAUGUCCAACAGGCCUGGUAGCUCACAGCUAUCAACACCCUAGAAUUCCACACUGCCUCACUGCAGUUGCUCAAGGAUGGGUAUGUUUCCGUCUCUGAAAUUUGGGAAAAAGCCUUAAGUGCCAGAGAAGGUGCUUCCAAGACUGUCUGCAGAAUUCCUUUCCUAGGGUCUGUCUCUGGUACCCAAAAGGGCAGAGAAGGAACCCUAAGAUUAGCAUAGAGCCACUCAUCUCUCCUCCCCUCACCACCCCUUCUUCUCGUGCUUCCAUUCCCUAUGGCCCUCUCCUCUGACUGUGACACACACUUCCUCUCCAGCAGUGUUGGGAAAGUUCUGGACCUCUACUGGAUCUAGCCAUAAAUGGUGGUCUUCAGAAAAAUGGAGAUUGUGGCUGCCAGCACCCACAAGACAGCAGCCUCAUGCCAUGCAGGCAGCAAGCCAUCCUGAACAGCGUUCCUCCCAGAGUCUGUUUCCUCACCUGCUGUUCACUGGUGAGAGGAAAAGGGACUUGUUCUCCCUUGACCAGUUUUCUAGUUUUCCUGUUCCCACCCUGGUCUUUGCCUGAUGACAGAGAAACUUUCUAAAAAAAAAAAAAAAAAAAAAAAAGCUAUAAAAAGUCUGCAAAACACCCUAUCAGAAGUCAACGAUUUCCUUAAAAAUACAUCUACUUCCUUCCUGUCCUUCUUAUCUUCUCCCUUGCCCCAGACAGGUGUGCUUGCAGGCAUCCAGCUGCCUGCAUCAGAGCUCCCCUUGAAGGCAGGUGCACAGCUGGGCUCCACGUUGGAGGGCAACAGCAGAGCUGCCACUUAUAGCCGGUCUUUCAACCCUGCUGUCCCCCAGCCCACCCACAAUGGCUCAAAAGGCUUGUCUUCUGAGAAAGACUUGCUGCUAGCCAAUCAUCACAGUCACUUUCCAGUUAUGUUAAGUGGCAUCAGAGCGUUGAUUAGCACUUACGGUAUGCAAGACAUGGUAGGAGGAAAAGGGAAUUAUAGACAGAAACCAUGUGAAAGUAUAAAAGUCACUGAUAAACUAGAUACACGAAUGAGAAACAAAUCAAGCAUUAUCAUCACAGAAAACCACCAAAUCGCAAAAGAUAAGAAAGGGAUCAGGCAUGGUGGCUCAUCCCUGUAAUCCCAGCACUUUGGAAGGCUGAGGUGGGAGAACUGCCUAAGGUCAAGAGUUUGAGACCAGCCAAGGCAACUUAGUGAGACCCUGUCUCUUAUUAAAAAAAGGAAAGGAAAAUUUUUUUUCCAGAGGAAGAAAGUAACAAAGGACAUAUAAAACAUCAGAAACCAAUUAACAAAAUGACAGGAAUAAGUCCUCACUCAUCAAUAACAACCUUGAAUGUAAAGAGUUCAAACUUCCCAAUUAAAAUAUAUAGCCUUGUUUAGCCGGGCAUGGUGCCACAUGCCUGUAAUCUCAGCUACUAAGGAGGCUGAGGCAGGAGAAUCACUUGAACCCGGGAGGUGGAGGUUGCAGUGAGCCGAGAUCAUGCCACUGCACUCCAGCUUGGGUGACAGAGUGAGACUAUCUCCAAAAAAAUACAAUUAAAAAAAUAUAUAUACACACACACAUAUACCCUUGCUGAGUGGGUUAGAAAAACAAGAUCCAGGCGAGGCAUGGUGACUCACAACUGUAAUCCCCAUGCUUUGGGAAGCUGAGGCAGGAGGAUGUCGCUUGAGUUCAAUACCAGCCUGGGCAACAGAGCAAGACCAC